Molecule: long non-coding RNA, 514 nt
Filed under: Capra hircus (goat)
Lineage: Eukaryota; Metazoa; Chordata; Mammalia; Artiodactyla; Bovidae
Description: lncRNA (ENSCHIG00010003837.1)
Source: RNAcentral
GUGCCUCCCCCUGUGGGACCCUCACGGCCGGACCCCCGGACACAGGACCCCGGGGAGGUCAGGCCAGGACGGAGGGAGCAGCUGCCCUGCAGGGCCCGGGAGGAGGCCGGGUGGGUUCCAGGGCCUGAUGAUGGAGUGGGCACCGCCACGCCUGCUCUCCACUCUUCUUUCCCACGACCCUGUGGUGGAGCCGCUGUGGCUUUCUCUAUUAGAUGUUCCAGGUGUCAGCGUCACGACCUGAGGUCUGCACGCGCUGCAGCGCCGUCACCCCGCAAGCCUGGCCGCCACCCUCUCUAUCCGACCAACCCUCACCCACGUCCAGCGCCAGGUUCCACAGGUUUCAUCAGGAAAAGCCAAAAAGAGAACCAAGCCUUCAGCUCCUCCCAGAAAAGGGGGCCCUGCCCAGGGAACUCGGAGAAAAACAAGAAAAAUGGCCAAUGUAGCAGAAAAAGACCCAAAAGUCCCCUCCUCCACUGUUCAUGUGUUUCCGGUCCGGGCGGGACCAGCCAGAGAG